This 212-nucleotide ribosomal RNA is filed under the name uncultured bacterium. RNAcentral's name for it is "partial 16S ribosomal RNA". It matches the Rfam family "Bacterial small subunit ribosomal RNA", at positions 524 to 734 of the family's 1533-position model. The record is from RNAcentral.
UACGUAGGGUGCGAGCGUUGUCCGGAAUUACUGGGCGUAAAGAGCUCGUAGGUGGUUUGUCGCGUUUGUCCGUGAAAACUCACAACUCAAUUGUGGGCGUGCGGGCGAUACGGGCAGACUGGAGUACUGCAGGGGAGACUGGAAUUCCUGGUGUAGCGGUGGAAUGCGCAGAUAUCAGGAGGAACACCGGUGGCGAAGGCGGACUCCUGGGC